CCAAUAGCGUAUAUUAAAGUUGUUGCAGUUAAAAAGCUCGUAGUUGAAUUUCGGGGUCAGUAGGUCGGUCGUGCCACCGGUAUGUACUGGUCUCACUGAUUCCUCCUUCUUGAAGAACCGUAAUGUCAUUAACUUGGUGUUGCGGGGAAACAGGACUGUUACUUUGAAAAAAUUAGAGUGUUUAAAGCAGGUCAUCGCCUGAAUACAUUAGCAUGGAAUAAUGAAAUAGGACGUUCGAUCCUAUUUUGUUGGUUUCUAGGAUUGACGUAAUGAUUAAUAGGGAUAGUUGGGGGCAUUAGUAUUCAAUUGUCAGAGGUGAAAUUCUUGGAUUUAUUGAAGACUAACUACUGCGAAAGCAUUUGCCAAGGAUGUUUUCAUUAAUCAAGAACGAAAGUUAGGGGAUCGAAGACGAUCAGAUACCGUCGUAGUCUUAACCAUAAACUAUGCCGACUAGGGAUCGGAUGAUGUUAAUUUUUUAAUGACUCAUUCGGCGCCUUACG
RNAcentral lists this ribosomal RNA (500 nucleotides) under uncultured Glomeromycotina. RNAcentral describes it as "partial small subunit ribosomal RNA". It matches the Rfam family "Eukaryotic small subunit ribosomal RNA", at positions 591 to 1092 of the family's 1831-position model. The record is from RNAcentral. Lineage: Eukaryota; Fungi; Glomeromycota.